GACGAACGCUGGCGGCGUGCCUAAUACAUGCAAGUAGAACGUUGAAGGAGGAGCUUGCUUCUCUGGAUGAGUUGCGAACGGGUGAGUAACGCGUAGGUAACCUGCCUGGUAGCGGGGGAUAACUAUUGGAAACGAUAGCUAAUACCGCAUAAUAGUAGAUGUUGCAUGACAUUUGCUUAAAAGGUGCAAUUGCAUCACUACCAGAUGGACCUGCGUUGUAUUAGCUAGUUGGUGAGGUAACGGCUCACCAAGGCGACGAUACAUAGCCGACCUGAGAGGGUGAUCGGCCACACUGGGACGGAGACACGGCCCAGACGGCUACGGGAGGCAGCAGGAGGGAAUCGUCGGCAAUGGACGGAAGUCUGACCGAGCAACGCCGAGUGAGUGAAGAAGGUUGUCGGAUCGUAAAGAUCGGUUGUAAGAGAAGAACGAGUGUGAGAGUGGAAAGUUCACACUGUGACGGUAGCUUACCAGAAAGGGACGGCUAACUACGUG
This 495-nucleotide ribosomal RNA is filed under the name uncultured bacterium. RNAcentral describes it as "partial 16S ribosomal RNA". It matches the Rfam family "Bacterial small subunit ribosomal RNA", at positions 28 to 507 of the family's 1533-position model. The record is from RNAcentral.